AGAAUCAACGCUGGCGGCGUGCCUAAUACAUGCAAGUCGAACGCGAAAGUCCCGCAAGGGAUUAGUAGAGUGGCAAACGGGUGAGUAACGCGUGGGCGACCUACCUUCGAGUGGGGGAUAACCUUCCGAAAGGAGGGCUAAUACCGCAUGACAUCCCGUGUUUGGAUACACGGACAUCAAAGUCGGGGAUCGCAAGACCUGACGCUUGGAGAGGGGCCCGCGUCCGAUUAGCUAGUUGGUGGGGUAACGGCUCACCAAGGCUUCGAUCGGUAUCCGGCCUGAGAGGGCGGACGGGACACGACUGGGACUGAGACACGGCCCAGACUCCUACGGGAGGCAGCAGUAGGGAAUUUUGCGCAAUGGACGAAAGUCUGACGCAGCAACGCCGCGUGAGGGAUGAAGGCCUUCGGGUUGUAAACCUCUUUAUCAGGGAAGAUAAUGACGGUACCUGAUGAAUAAGUCACGGCUAACUACGUGCCAGCAGUCGCGGU
This 491-nucleotide ribosomal RNA is filed under the name uncultured bacterium. RNAcentral's name for it is "SSU rRNA". It matches the Rfam family "Bacterial small subunit ribosomal RNA", at positions 26 to 521 of the family's 1533-position model. The record is from RNAcentral.